UACAGAGGUCUCAAGCGUUGUUCGGAAUUACUGGGCGUAAAGGGCGCGUCGGCGGCCUGCUAAGUCGGAUGUGAAAUCCCUCGGCUCAACCAAGGAACUGCAUCCGAUACUGGCGGGCUUGAAUCCGGGAGAGGGAUGUGGAAUUCCAGGUGUAGCGGUGAAAUGCGUAGAUAUCUGGAGGAACACCGGUGGCGAAGGCGGCAUCCUGGACCGGUACUGACGCUGAGACGCGAAAGCGUGGGUAGCAAACAGG
This 253-nucleotide ribosomal RNA is filed under the name uncultured bacterium. RNAcentral's name for it is "partial 16S ribosomal RNA". It matches the Rfam family "Bacterial small subunit ribosomal RNA", at positions 524 to 776 of the family's 1533-position model. The record is from RNAcentral.